GCGGCAGACGGGUGAGUAAUGCAUGGGAAUCUACCCAGCUCUACGGAAUAACUCAGGGAAACUUGAACUAAUACCGUAUGCGCCCUUCGGGGGAAAGAUUUAUCGGAGUUGGAUGAGCCCAUGUCUGAUUAGCUAGUUGGUGGGGUAAAGGCCUACCAAGGCGACGAUCAGUAGCUGGUCUGAGAGGAUGAUCAGCCACACUGGGACUGAGACACGGCCCAGACUCCUACGGGAGGCAGCAGUGGGGAAUAUUGGACAAUGGGCGAAAGCCUGAUCCAGCCAUGCCGCGUGAGUGAUGAAGGCCCUAGGGUUGUAAAGCUCUUUCACCGGUGAAGAUAAUGACGGUAACCGGAGAAGAAGCCCCGGCUAACUUCGUGCCAGCAGCCGCGGUAAUACGAAGGGGGCUAGCGUUGUUCGGAAUUACUGGGCGUAAAGCGCGCGUAGGCGGAUCGGUCAGUUAGGGGUGAAAUCCCGGGGCUCAACCCCGGAACUGCCUCUAAUACUGCCGAUCUAGAGUUCGAGAGAGGUGAGUGGAAUUCCGAGUGUAGAGGUGAAAUUCGUAGAUAUUCGGAGGAACACCAGUGGCGAAGGCGGCUCACUG
Molecule: ribosomal RNA, 601 nt
Filed under: Nitratireductor aquibiodomus
Lineage: Bacteria; Pseudomonadati; Pseudomonadota; Alphaproteobacteria; Hyphomicrobiales; Phyllobacteriaceae
Description: bacterial SSU rRNA
Rfam family: Bacterial small subunit ribosomal RNA
Source: RNAcentral